UAUUCUCCUGACUGUCCUUAGGUGAGAGCACUUCCUUGGGGGAGCCCUUUUUAAUCUCAUGUGGGAUUUAUGUUGGCUUUUGUCCCUGCCACUAUGUUUUAGCAUCACAACCAGCUUUGUGGAGCUGAGGUAGACUGCUUUGCUUUGGGAGGGAGGAGGUCGAUUUUGUUCUUUCACACUCCAGUAUCCUCUUCCUUCUUGUGAACCCAGGCUAGGGCACUUUAAACAUAACUGUGGGAAGUGGGGUUGAUGGAGCAAAUCAAGACCACCACAAGCUUUCUUUGUGUCCUUGAGUAAAGUAUUUGCUCAUCUCCUGCUUCAAGACCUCCUUGUUAACCUAACUCAAGAUCAAAACACCCUUCAGAAGACCUGGCACAGGAAAUGAUGGUGAGAGGAACUAGACUAAGACAGAGAAAUCAUUCACUUCACUCUCAUCUGUCAAGAGAAAAAGGAUGAAGUUCUGAUCUGGGAAGAGAUACUGUGGAUGAGGAAAUACCUUUGGAAAGAGUUUGCUGAAGUGGCAAGAUGUGAUGACCAAGUAGACAAGAAAGAGGACUUGGGUUCAAUUCCCAGCACCCACACGGCAGCUCACAACUGUCUGUAACUCCA
Non-coding RNA from Peromyscus maniculatus bairdii (prairie deer mouse), 609 nucleotides. The record is from RefSeq and is a predicted model, not a curated record. NCBI's taxonomy places the organism in Eukaryota, Metazoa, Chordata, Mammalia, Rodentia, Cricetidae.